GCCGGAGACCUGGAUUCAAUCCUGAUCUUGGCUGCUGUCUGCGUGAAGUUUGCACGUUCUUCCAGUGACCGCAUGGGUUUCCUCCAAGCUCUCCAGUUUCCUACCAC
This is a long non-coding RNA of Amblyraja radiata (thorny skate), 107 nucleotides long. RefSeq lists it as uncharacterized. NCBI's taxonomy places the organism in Eukaryota, Metazoa, Chordata, Chondrichthyes, Rajiformes, Rajidae. The record is from RefSeq and is a predicted model, not a curated record. The transcript has 3 exons.